Molecule: long non-coding RNA, 406 nt
Organism: Bubalus bubalis (water buffalo)
Lineage: Eukaryota; Metazoa; Chordata; Mammalia; Artiodactyla; Bovidae
Exons: 2
Source: RefSeq, a predicted model, not a curated record
CUGACUUAAUGGACAUGAGUUUGAGUAAAAUCCGGGAGUUGGUGAUGGACAGGGAGGCCUGGUGUGGUGCAGUCCGUGGGUCGGACACGACUGAGUGACUGAACUGAACUGAACUGAGGACACCGGAAUAAAACUGGCCUCAUUCAACUGUUUGUGCAGUUCUUCUGAUAAUGGAGUUACUACUUCACUUUUCAUGUGUCCAGAAGGAAACUUGGAAUCCAAAGUGGGUGAAGUUAAUGAAGAAGAACAAUCAUUGGAGACUGUCUUGAUCCAGUUCUGAGGCUCUGGCUGGAGGCUGGUCAUUCCUCUUUUCGAGCAGCUGACUGAGACCACAUCCCCAGUGACUUCUCUAAGGAACUGAUAGCUCCUGGUGUCUACGCGGCAGCCCUAAUUGCCUCAGGGCCAG